UAGCCAUGCAUGUCUAAGUAUAAGUAUUAUACAGCGAAACUGCGAAUGGCUCAUUAAAACAGUUAUAGUUUAUUUGAUAAUCGAAUUUACAUGGAUAACCGUGGUAAUUCUAGAGCUAAUACAUGCUGGUGUGCCCGACUUUUGCGGAAGGGCGGUAUUUAUUAGAUAACAAGCCAAUAUUCCUCUGGUCUAUUGUGGUGACUCAUAAUAACUGAUCGAAUCGCAAGGCCUUUGGCCGCGAUAAGUCAUUCAAGUUUCUGCCCCAUCAGCUUUCGAUGGUAGUGUAUUGGACUACCAUGGCGUUUACGGGUAACGGAGGAUUAGGGUUCGAUUCCGGAGAGGGAGCCUGAGAAACGGCUACCACAUCUAAGGAAGGCAGCAGGCGCGUAAAUUACCCAAUCCUGACUCAGGGAGGUAGUGACAAGAAAUAACGGACCGAGGCCUUCGGGCUUCGGGAUUGGAAUGAGCCGAAUUUACACCCCUUAGCGAAGAUCGAUUGGAGUGCAAGUCUGGUGCCAGCAGCCGCGGUAAUUCCAGCUCCAAUAGCGUAUAUUAAAGUUGUUGCAGUUAAAAAGCUCGUAGUUGGAUUUCUGGGAGGGUGCCGAUGUCCGCUUAACGUGUGUGCAGCGGCGCCCUCUCAUCCUUCUGUUAGCGUCUCUUGGCAUUCAUUUGCUGGUGGCGGGCUCAGAUAUUUUACCUUGAGAAAAUUAGAGUGUUUCAGGCAGGCUAGGCCGGAAUACAUUAGCAUGGAAUAAUGGAAUAGGACUACGGUCUCUUUGUUGGUUUGAGGGACUGCAGUAAUGAUUAAUAGGGAUAGUUGGGGGCAUUAGUACUUAACU
RNAcentral lists this ribosomal RNA (839 nucleotides) under uncultured alveolate. RNAcentral describes it as "SSU rRNA". It matches the Rfam family "Eukaryotic small subunit ribosomal RNA", at positions 46 to 903 of the family's 1831-position model. The record is from RNAcentral.